CAACCUAAAUCUACCUACAACCCAGCCCCCACAGCAAGUCCCUAUUCAAUAACAAUGGUACCAGCCCAAAACAGCCUGAAUCCGUCCACUAACCCAACCCCACAAAUCUGCCGACCCAAAACAACCCAAAAUCCCUACCGACCCGGCCUACAUCCCAUAUUCUCUUUCUCCCCUUAUCUGUAUCACAACAACAACACACAAACACACCCCAAUAACAGCGUACAUAUCAACGGCAGAACCCGUAACAAUGACAACAAUAGUCAAGAACGCUAACAACGCUAACAACGUUCAAACACGCAUACAACAGCAAUUCCAACGCGCACAACCACCAACAACUUCAGCGUAAACAACGACAACAACUCCAUUAAACCUAGCUUCCCAAUUUACUAUUUUAUCCCUCUCGUGCAAGCCAUUUAUGGCUAAGAAAUCAGGCGCUUUCAUGAUUUUCAGUACAUGGUUCAGUAUUUCGAGCAAAAAAUUAAUUAACCCCUUUGACCAACACAGUCAACGUCCCCUUUUCUCCAUUUAUCCACUGAUUUCUAAGUACAAGGCCAUUAAUGGUUUUUUCCUACAGUGGAUUUCAAAAAUUUCCCAAGAAAAUCACUUAAAUUCAGAUUUGAAAUCCAUAACCCUAACCUUUUCCCCCCAAAUUUCCCUAUUAUAGAUAGUGAGGGAUAAGGGUGAAAAGGAGGAUUUUGGGGGGGGGGGGGGGGGGGGGGGGGAUUUGAGUAUUUUGAAGGAGCAUUCCUUUAAUACCACGUAACUAAGAGUCCACAAAUAAAAUACGUUUAAUUUAUGAAAAACAAUUUGAAUUUCGUCGAAGCCUUGUUUGAAUUCCGGUGUGUUGGAAUCUCUAACUCAGCCGGAAGUCCCGAUCGCUGCCCAAAAACAGGGCCGUCACAUGUGAUCCUUUGCAUUUUCCUAGGCCAAUAAGGCCCAUUCCAUUGAGUUAAGCCUCAUUGAAGCCCGAAAAUGGACUGAUAUACAUCAUCGGGCAUUGGUAUACAAGAUGGUAUACACUUGUAUACAGUGGAUAUACAUUGGGAUAACUGAAUCUGAACAUACUGCAUGGUGCACUUAACAAAAUGUAAGUAGACGCGCUGAUUCAUACAUUGAUAUACAGAGUAUAGGCGGUAGUAUACCAAAAAACGCAAAGAAAAGGAGGUGUGUUAUACAACUGGUAUACAUGCAGGGAAAUGGACCUAAAAUCCAUAAAAUUGCAAACCCAAAGGCUGGGCAGCUCGCUGAUGGGCCAAAAAGGGCUCAACUCCAACUUUAAUCUUUUAUUCUCUUAUAAAUUGCAAUUUAUGCUUGUUUAUUUUCACUAACUUAAAUUAAUUAAUACAGUGUUUCCCCA
This is a long non-coding RNA of Capsicum annuum, 1357 nucleotides long. RefSeq lists it as uncharacterized. NCBI's taxonomy places the organism in Eukaryota, Viridiplantae, Streptophyta, Magnoliopsida, Solanales, Solanaceae. The transcript has 2 exons. The record is from RefSeq and is a predicted model, not a curated record.